AAAUGUUACUACCGAUAAUCUGUGGUCCAGCAGUUAGUGUGUGAACAACGCCAGUUAUAAGACGGUCGUCAAACUUACUGUGUUAGAACCUCUCUCACCUCUAGACCUGCAUGUAACACGGAUUAUCAGAUUUACCUGUUUUACAUGAGAUUUAUAUUUUACCUUUAAUUAACCCACAUUUCAACCUACAGACAUGGGGUUAAUAAUGAGUACCGUCAACUAUAUAUUUGGUGGAGGAGGAGGGGGACCAGAAAUGGACAUACCUGAUAAAGUUACUGGUUUAUCCAAGAGAGAGCAACUCGCCAUUACAUCUAGCUGGGAUCUAAUCAAGGUUAAUGCAAAAGAUAAUGGCGUUGAACUAUUUAUUAGAUUGUUUAAAGCCUAUCCUAAAUCACAAGAUUAUUUCGAACAUUUUAAAGGCAAGGACCCAGAAAGUUUGAGGAAGAAAACUAUGUUACGUGUACACGGUACGACCGUGAUACACGCAUUAAAUAGUAUGGUGGAGAACCUAGAUGAUCCAGAAUGUUUGAUUGGUCUGUUGGAGAGAAACGCCUUGAGUCAUUAUCCACGUGGUAUCAGAAUUCAACAU
Molecule: long non-coding RNA, 589 nt
Organism: Patella vulgata (common limpet)
Lineage: Eukaryota; Metazoa; Mollusca; Gastropoda; Patellidae
Exons: 3
Source: RefSeq, a predicted model, not a curated record